AAUAUUGGAUAAUGGGGUCAACCCUGAUCCAGCCAUGCCGCGUGUGUUAAGAAGGUCUUCGUAUUGUAAAGCACUUUAAGUUGGGAGGAAGGGCUUUAGGUUAAUACCCUGAAGUCUUGACGUUACCAACAGAAUAAUCACCGGCUAACUCUGUGCCAGCAGCCGGGGUAAUACAGAGGGUGCAAGCGUUAAUCGAAAUUACUGGGCGUAAAGAGCGCGUAGGUGGUUCAGUAAGAUGGGUGUGAAAUCCCCGGGCUGAACCUGGGAACUGCUUUCAUAACUGCUGAGGUAAAGUACGGUAGAGGGUAGUGGAAUUUCCUGUGUAGCGGUGAAAUGCGUAGAUGUAGGAAGGAACACCAGUGGCGAAGGCGACUACCUGGACUGAUACUGACACUGAGGUGCGAAAGCGUGGGGAGCAAAC
Molecule: ribosomal RNA, 421 nt
Filed under: uncultured bacterium
Lineage: Bacteria
Description: partial 16S ribosomal RNA
Rfam family: Bacterial small subunit ribosomal RNA
Source: RNAcentral